RNAcentral lists this ribosomal RNA (1348 nucleotides) under uncultured bacterium. Its description in RNAcentral is "bacterial SSU rRNA". It matches the Rfam family "Bacterial small subunit ribosomal RNA", at positions 27 to 1381 of the family's 1533-position model. The record is from RNAcentral.
GAUUGAACGCUGGCGGCAUGCUUUACACAUGCAAGUCGAACGGUAACAGGUCUUCGGAUGCUGACGAGUGGCGAACGGGUGAGUAAUGUAUCGGAACGUGCCAGUAGUGGGGGAUAACUACUCGAAAGAGUGGCUAAUACCGCAUGAGAACUGAGGUUGAAAGCGGGGGACCUUCGGGCCUCGCGCUGCUGGAGCGGCCGAUAUCAGAUUAGGUAGUUGGUGGGGUAAAGGCCUACCAAGCCGACGAUCUGUAGCUGGUCUGAGAGGACGACCAGCCACACUGGGACUGAGACACGGCCCAGACUCCUACGGGAGGCAGCAGUGGGGAAUUUUGGACAAUGGACGCAAGCCUGAACCAGCCAUCCCGCGUGCAGGAAGACGGCCCUAUGGGUUGUAAACUGCUUUUCCAGGGAGAGAAACUUACGCACGUGUUGCGUGACUGACGGUACCCUGGGAAUAAGCAUCGGCUAACUCCGUGCCAGCAGCCGCGGUAAUACGGAGGAUGCAAGCGUUAUCCGGAUUCAUUGGGUUUAAAGGGUGCGUAGGCGGGCUAUUAAGUCAGUGGUGAAAUCCUGCAGCUUAACUGCAGAACUGCCGUUGAUACUGAUAGUCUUGAGUUUGGUUAAGGUAGGCGGAAUGUGUAAUGUAGCGGUGAAAUGCUUAGAUAUUACACAGAACACCAAUUGCGUAGGCAGCUUACUGAGCCGACACUGACGCUGAGGCACGAAAGCGUGGGGAUCAAACAGGAUUAGAUACCCUGGUAGUCCACGCCGUAAACGAUGAUUACUCGCUGUUGGCGAUACACUGUCAGCGGCUAAGCAAAAGCAAUAAGUAAUCCACCUGGGGAGUACGGCCGCAAGGUUGAAACUCAAAGGAAUUGACGGGGGCCCGCACAAGCGGAGGAACAUGUGGUUUAAUUCGAUGAUACGCGAGGAACCUUACCUGGGCUUAAAUGUAGAGUGCAUUUUCUAGAGAUAGAAAUUCCCUUCGGGGCUUUCUGCAAGGUGCUGCAUGGUUGUCGUCAGCUCGUGCCGUGAGGUGUCGGGUUAAGUCCCAUAACGAGCGCAACCCUUAUCGUUAGUUGCCAGCUGGUAAAGCAGGGGACUCUAGCGAAACUGCCACCGUAAGGUGAGAGGAAGGUGGGGAUGACGUCAAAUCAGCACGGCCCUUAUGUCCAGGGCUACACACGUGUUACAAUGGCCGGUACAGAGGGCUGCUACCUGGUGACAGGAUGCUAAUCUCGAAAACCGGUCUCAGUUCGGAUCGAAGUCUGCAACUCGACUUCGUGAAGCCGGAUUCGCUAGUAAUCGCGCAUCAGCAACGGCGCGGUGAAUACGUUCCCGGGCCU